Molecule: ribosomal RNA, 468 nt
Filed under: uncultured bacterium
Lineage: Bacteria
Description: partial 16S ribosomal RNA
Rfam family: Bacterial small subunit ribosomal RNA
Source: RNAcentral
GACGAACGCUGGCGGCGUGCUUAACACAUGCAAGUCGAACGGAAAGGCCCUGCUUUUGUGGUGUGCUCGAGUGGCGAACGGGUGAGUAACACGUGAGUAACCUGCCCUUGACUUUGGGAUAACUUCAGGAAACUGGGGCUAAUACCGGAUAGGAGCUCCUGCUGCAUGGUGGGGGGUGGAAAGUUUCGGCGGUUGGGGAUGGACUCGCGGCUUAUCAGCUUGUUGGUGGGGUAGUGGCUUACCAAGGCUUUGACGGGUAGCCGGCCUGAGAGGGUGACCGGCCACAUUGGGACUGAGAGACGGCCCAGACUCCUACGGGAGGCAGCAGUGGGGAAUAUUGCACAGUGGGCGGAAGCCUGAUGCAGCAACGCCGCGUGCGGGAUGACGGCCUGCUGGUUGUAAACCGCUGUCGCCUGUGACGAAGCGUGAGUGACGGUAAUGGGUAAAGAAGCACCGGCUAACUACGUG